AACGCGAAGAACCUUACCCGGGCUUGACAUCCUGUGACAUCCUAAGAGAUUAGGUUUUCUAGCAAUAGAACACAGAGACAGGUGCUGCAUGGCUGUCGUCAGCUCGUGCCGUGAGGUGUUGGGUUAAGUCCCGCAACGAGCGCAACCCUUACUCAUAGUUGCUACCCGCAAGGGAGAACUCUAUGAGGACUGCUCCGGAUAACGGAGAGGAAGGUGGGGAUGAGGUCAAGUCAGCAUGGCCUUUAUGUCCAGGGCUACACACGUGUUACAAUGCGCGCUACAGAGCGUUGCAAACCCGCGAGGGGGAGCUAAUCGCACAAAAGCGCGCUCAGUUCGGAUUGCAGUCUGCAACUCGACUGCAUGAAGCCGGAAUCGCUAGUAAUGGCGCAUCAGAACGGCGCCGUGAAUACGUUCCCGGGCCUUGUACACACCGACUGUAC
Molecule: ribosomal RNA, 440 nt
Filed under: uncultured bacterium
Lineage: Bacteria
Description: bacterial SSU rRNA
Rfam family: Bacterial small subunit ribosomal RNA
Source: RNAcentral